This 497-nucleotide ribosomal RNA is filed under the name uncultured bacterium. Its description in RNAcentral is "partial 16S ribosomal RNA". It matches the Rfam family "Bacterial small subunit ribosomal RNA", at positions 28 to 507 of the family's 1533-position model. The record is from RNAcentral.
GAUGAACGCUGGCGGCGUGCCUAAUACAUGCAAGUCGAGCGAACGGACGAGAAGCUUGCUUCUCUGAUGUUAGCGGCGGACGGGUGAGUAACACGUGGAUAACCUACCUAUAAGACUGGGAUAACUUCGGGAAACCGGAGCUAAUACCGGAUGAUAUUUUGAACCGCAUGGUUCAAAAGUGAAAGACGGUCUUGCUGUCACUUAUAGAUGGAUCCGCGCUGCAUUAGCUAGUUGGUAAGGUAACGGCUUACCAAGGCAACGAUGCAUAGCCGACCUGAGAGGGUGAUCGGCAAAACGGGAACUGAGACACGGUCCAGACUCCUACGGGAGGAAGCAGUAGGGAAUCUUCCGCAAUGGGCGAAAGCCUGACGGAGCAACGCCGCGUGAGUGAUGAAGGUCUUCGGAUCGUAAAACUCUGUUAUUAGGGAAGAACAUAUGUGUAAGUAACUGUGCACAUCUUGACGGUACCUAAUCAGAAAGCCACGGCUAACUACGUG